UACGAAGGGUGCAAGCGUUACUCGGAAUUACUGGGCGUAAAGGGUGCGUAGGUGGUCUUUUAAGUCUGUUGUGAAAUCCCUGGGCUCAACCUGGGAAUGGCAGUGGAUACUGGAAGGCUAGAGUGCGGUAGAGGGUAGUGGAAUUCCCGGUGUAGCAGUGAAAUGCGUAGAGAUGUGGAGGAAUACCGAUGGCGAAGGCAGCCCCCUGGGCCAAUACUGACGCUCAUGCACGAAAGCGUGGGGAGCAAACAG
Molecule: ribosomal RNA, 252 nt
Filed under: uncultured bacterium
Lineage: Bacteria
Description: partial 16S ribosomal RNA
Rfam family: Bacterial small subunit ribosomal RNA
Source: RNAcentral